This 478-nucleotide ribosomal RNA is filed under the name uncultured bacterium. Its description in RNAcentral is "partial 16S ribosomal RNA". It matches the Rfam family "Bacterial small subunit ribosomal RNA", at positions 28 to 523 of the family's 1533-position model. The record is from RNAcentral.
GACGAACGCUGGCGGCGUGCUUAACACAUGCAAGUCGAACGGUAAGGCCCUUCGGGGUACACGAGUGGCGAACGGGUGAGUAACACGUGGGUGAUCUGCCCUGCACUUCGGGAUAAGCCUGGGAAACUGGGUCUAAUACCGGAUAGGACCACUGCCUGCAUGGGUGGUGGUGGAAAGCUUUUGCGGUGUGGGAUGGGCUCGCGGCCUAUCAGCUUGUUGGUGGGGUGAUGGCCUACCAAGGCGACGACGGGUAGCCGGCCUGAGAGGGUGGCCGGCCACACUGGGACUGAGAUACGGCCCAGACUCCUACGGGAGGCAGCAGUGGGGAAUAUUGCUCAAUGGGCGCAAGCCUGAUGCAGCGACGCCGCGUGAGGGAUGACGGCCUUCGGGUUGUAAACCUCUUUCAGCACCGACGAAGCGCAAGUGACGGUAGGUGCAGAAGAAGGACCGGCCAACUACGUGCCAGCCGCCGCGGUAA